AUUGAACGCUGGCGGCAGGCUUAACACAUGCAAGUCGAGCGGGGUGAUGGUGCUUGCACUAUCACUUAGCGGCGGACGGGUGAGUAAUGCUUAGGAAUCUGCCUAUUAGUGGGGGACAACAUCUCGAAAGGGAUGCUAAUACCGCAUACGUCCUACGGGAGAAAGCAGGGGAUCACUUGUGACCUUGCGCUAAUAGAUGAGCCUAAGUCGGAUUAGCUAGUUGGUGGGGUAAAGGCCUACCAAGGCGACGAUCUGUAGCGGGUCUGAGAGGAUGAUCCGCCAAACUGGGACUGAGACACGGCCCAGACGACUACGGGAGGCAGCAGUGGGGAAUAUUGGACAAUGGGGGGAACCCUGAUCCAGCCAUGCCGCGUGUGUGAAGAAGGCCUUAUGGUUGUAAAGCACUUUAAGCGAGGAGGAGGCUCUUUUGGUUAAUACCCAAGAUGAGUGGACGUUACUCGCAGAAUAAGCACCGGCUAACUCUGUGCCAGCCGCCGCGGUAA
Molecule: ribosomal RNA, 503 nt
Filed under: uncultured bacterium
Lineage: Bacteria
Description: partial 16S ribosomal RNA
Rfam family: Bacterial small subunit ribosomal RNA
Source: RNAcentral